UCAGAGAUGGAAUGCAAUCGACUGCAAUGGCGUGGCGUUUGAGGGAUUUCCCCAAACGAAGGAGUGAAAGUCUGGAAAUUUGAGCGUGAAAAUUGUACGAACACCAACUAAAUUGUUAUACAUUUCUCUACAAGAAUAUAAAGAUUUCAAUCCUUUGACCAAAUGAAAUUUGCCGAGGGGUUAUGUAGCGAUAUUAAGUUUUGUUCAUUGGUCCGUGACGAUUAUGUCAAAUCGUCAUUACCGGAAUCUCGCACACCAAGCGGUAAACAUAAUGAAUGAGGAACAGGAGGCCUAUGUGGAAAGUCCAAGUCUUCCAGCGAAUCUACCACCUCAGGCAGACAACAAUGCAGAACGCGGUAAUUCAGCGGCCAAUAGCGGAGAAAGUGACCAAGCGAGAGUUCCGGCAAGUGACCAAGCAAUCGCCGCCAAUGCUGAGAACUUAGAUAGGGUCGAUGGUUAUGAUGAAGUUUUUGAUCAAAACGUGAGCGCAGAUUUUGAAUGUCCCAUAUGUAUGCUGGUAUUACGUAAUCCUGUUCAAACAGGAUGUGGACAUCGCUUUUGUGGAGCGUGCAUCAAUAGACACUUGGCAAACGUUCACACUUGCCCAAUUGACAACCAACAGCUGGACCCGAGCGAGAUAAACGCUGAUAAUUUUGCUAAGAGGGAAAUAUAUAUGCUUCGUGUUAAAUGUCGGACUGUAAAGAACGAAAAGGAAUGCCCUUGGAUCGGAUGCCUGAAAGACGUUGAGGAACAUUUAAAAACUUGUCCAUUUGUGGAAGCGCCAUGUCCGAAAGGGUGUAAUCAAAAUGUAGAGAGGAAAGCGUUGGACCAUCAUUUGAAGAAGGAAUGUCCAAAACGAACAACAACCUGUACACAUUGCAAGACUGAAGUGCUCCAUAAGAACUACAAGGAUCAUUAUGGAAAGUGCCAAAAAGUAGUUGUUCCUUGUCCCAAUUGUAAACAGAAGAUGCUGCGAGAAAAGUUGGUUGCUGGACAUGAAAAGGAGUGUCCCAAAGGACAGGCUGUGUGUGAUUUUAAAUCGUAUGGAUGCAAGUGGACGGGGCAGCGAUUUAAUCUCCAAAACCAUCUAAACAACGAAAUACAGUUACAUUUGUCCAUGCUGUGCGCUGCUUUAGCCGUAUUGUUACCUCAAAACGGAAAGGAAAAGAGCAAAGGUGCUGCCAGUGGAGGUGCUAGUGCAAGUGCAAAUGGCAAUGGUACUGUGAGCGCGACCGUCUUAGAGGAGUUCAAUCGUCAACGUAACAAAAACACUGAGGCUAUUGCAACUUUGGAAGCCAAGCUGGUGGAAAUGGAGCGAAAAUAUCGUGAACUAAGAGGCCGCACUGAAAGACAACAAAGGGAUAAUGAAUCUGGCGUGACAGCUUUGAAGAAUACUGUAAUUGAUCUGGAAGCACGUAUGUGCAAUGGAGUCUACCUGUGGAGGAUAGAGGGGUAUCCAACUCAUCUAGAAAACGCUCGCGAGAAUGUUGUUACAGCAUUGCACAGCCCUCCAUUUUAUACCAGUUUCUAUGGCUACAAGUUAUGCCUCAGAAUCAACCCAAACGGAGUGGAUACUGGCUAUGGUACUCAUGUUUCUUUGUUUGUUCAUAUGAUGCAGUCACCCUGGGACGAUACUCUGGAGUGGCCCUUUUCAGGCAGGAUCUCCCUUUCCAUUCUUGACCAAAGUGAUGAUGGAGAUUACAAACGUCAUAUCAGCGAAACGUUGGUCACCAGGCCUAAUCUUUUGGCAUUUCAAAGACCAACCACUCCCCGAAAUCACAAAGGCUAUGGAUAUGUGGAGUUCGCCCAUAUCGAGACAUUGCAGGAUCGGCAAUACGUUAAAAAUGACUGUCUUCUGGUUCGCGUUCAAGUUUUUCAGUGAAUCAAGCGUUAUAAUACUUUUCAUAUAUCCGAAAAAAUACAAAAAAACUUUAACUACAAAGAUAGAAAUAAAUUUAUUUCGACGUUUUGUCCAUAUUUUAGUCAUCGCCAAGAAAUAACGCUUAAUGCUUGAAAUAAUAUAUGACAUAGAAAGUUCAGAUGUUUCGUAUACCAAUAAAAAGAUAUAUAAAUGCUAAAGUUAAACCCAAAUCUGGUAUCAUGCAGAACCAUGAAUCUUUAUUAUUACUAUUACAUUUAGUUUAUUUACAAUAUAUAACCACGCCUGUCUAACUCACAAUCUUCCUGUUUGAAGAACUCGCUGUAAACCCGCAAAUUUCACUAAACUCCAUAAUUGAUAAAUGGUCUAAUAUAUUACUACCCUACUAUUAGCACAUGCAAAUGUAUUAUGUCAAACAUGAGGCAUUAUUUCCUGACGAUGACUAAAAAUAUAUUCGGGGCGUUGAAAUAAAUUUUAAAACAAUUUCUGUCUCUGGAGUGUACUGUUCUUUUGUAUUUUAUUUAAUUACUUUGUGAUUGUAAAAUGUUCGUCCUGUCUGCGUAAAAUUGGUGAUUAUUAGAUAUAUACAUAUUACUCUGUUUCUCGCGAAGAUGAGAUUUUGUGAAAGGGCAAUACAGAAAAUGUUAUGGUCACAUUUAAAAACGUUUAAAAUCCAGAGAAUCUUGUUACAGGGUUUCCAUAUUUUGUGAUGUUUUGUCAAAAUGAAGGAUUUUGUCCAAAAAGGAUUUAGAAAUUGUCGGCUGAUUAAUUCUCAAUUCAUUACCUAACUCUCGUUUGGAGUUGAGCCUUAAACUAUACAAUCAUGAUUUGUAAACCCGUAAAAACGUUAUUGUGUUUUCUGCAUGUCUCUCGUCGAGAAUGCGGUUUAUUGCUUCGACAAAAUCGGUCAUUUUUUUAUUUCAAACAAACAAUGGUCUUGCGUUAUGUUUCCGAAUCAUAUUUACCAGUGAGUGAUAUUUAUCGCUUAAAUUUAGCUUUUUCGUUGGAGAAUCCGAAUUUGAGGUGUAAUAAUUUAGUUUGAGUAUAAUUACAAAGCCAAAGGUGACCACUGAAAAUUCUGGCUUCUGAUUGGUCGAUCGACCUCGGAUUAUUAUGCAAUAUUCACCUAACCGAAUUUUUCAAAAUGCCGGCGAGCUGUUUUUGUCAAAGGUACAGGUGAAGAAAUAAGUUAUUUUAACGAAAAUACUGUACUAAAAAGCACAAAAGAUUUGUAAGAAUUAGGCAUAAAAUUAUUUCGAGGUAAAAAACUACGUUUUCGAGUGCUUUUUAACUUUAUUUUGCGAAAAUAUUACUUUAUUUAAAUCGCCCUAAAACUGUCGAGAGGUUUGUUUACCUUUGCAAAACUUUUUUAAAAAUAUUACCUAUAAAAAUAUAUAUUAAAUAUAAAAAUAUUAUCCUCGUUAAUCUAGGACGGCGGACAAACAACUUAUUUCUUUAAAAUCCUUAAUCUGUGACAAGAUUUUCUACAUACUUGGAUUUCCAGUUGAGAAUGGAAUUGCGAAAGUUUGUCCGUAAAAUUUUCUAGUUUGAAAACAAUUGUGUGACGUCAUCAAUAAUGUUACUUGGUGACGAUCACCAAGUUGUGAAAGAAAAACUGUCAUCUCUGUCAAGUUUGUGACUGUAAAUAGAAGACGUGAAUAGCGAUGAAUAGCCGCUAUUUCUACUGUAGUUUUUCCUUUAACAACUUGGUGAGCCUCACGUAGUAACAUUAUUCGAUGACGUCAGAAGCAUUGUUUUCAAACUAAAAAAUUUAAAGAGCAAGCUUUCGCAAUUCCAGGACAACUCAACUGGAAAUCGCAGUAAUAUCAAACGUUCUUCAAAGUGAGUUCGCUCCGAAAAGUCAUGUUGUCUAGUAAACAGUAGUUUUUUUAAGGGAUUUUCUUAUCAUUCACUUCGUAACAUUCUAAAUUUUUAUUGGUUGAUUUACUAGCAAAUAACUGCGUGCAAAUGAUAAUAGUUAAAAUGUUCGAAAUAAGAUCUACAAAAAUUUAUGACCGUCAACACAACUUUUUUGUGUUUUUUGGCGCGUUUACUUGGCUUUAUUAAUUACAUUUGACUUUAAACGUUACGUUACAAUUGUAUUUCAAAUGUGAUAAACAUGCUGUAUAAACCAUAAAAAUAAUACACAUAGAAUGCGCGCUGAUACCUCUUCCCUAAUAAAAAUUUGUCUCCAAAUAAAAGUUUUUUUGAAUGAUUUCAAAAUGGCGCAUUAAUAAGAGUACAGCAUGAAAAAAUUUGGGACACGUAUUCGUGAUAAGUACGCAUUCUGUUAUUAUUUCUAUGGUAUAAACCCAGUAAACGCACCAAAACAGUACAAAAAACGUUGUGUUAGUAUAGGUAAUAGUAUAAUUUCGAGUGCAAUUACGGAUUAAAAAGCACGAGUGAGUUUAAGGCUGCAAAAUAGCGCAAGUUUCGAAAGGCGAGCGUUAUUUGCAGUCUUUAAAAAAUCACGAGUGCGUGUUUAUCCGUAAUUGCACGAGAGAAAUUAUAGUAUUACGUAUUAAUGAUAUGCAAGGAAAUCUUUGAGAAUAUAUUUGUAACAGGAUUUUGCACUGUUGUUACAGUAAUUUGCACUGUUACACAUUUUUGCACUAAUGUUUGAGAUUAACUGCACUGAAAUCAACCAAUCAGGGUCGAGAAACAUUUCCUUGUAUAUUAUUAGACGUGAUAAUUGUUUAUACGUCACGUUUAUAACAAUUUCGAUUUCAAAGUCAACGUGUAAGAAUUAAUUAUUACAUUUUUUAAAGGUAAAGAAACGCGUGAAAAAAGUUCACGCGUCAUGCUCGAAUGUAAGUAUUGAACUCGCUUUUUGUAAAAUAUUGUUAUUUGCUAAUGUCUCGCAAAUCUGCUCACCAUCGACAUCGACAAAUGACGAUAUUUUGCUCGACCUCGUCCAACAAGUGAUUAUUAGUUGCCAUAAACCGACGCUGACUAAUUCUGAUUUGGGUUUCCUCGUUUGUAAAAAGAAUAUUGAAGAUGACAAGAAUAGAGGGUGCAAAACUUGUUGUUGUCCGGUGUACACGACGCUCGUGGAAGGACGACAACUGCAUGUUUUCUCUAUGCUCCCAAAGAUUGAAUUAUAAAGAUCAAGAUGUGGUUUCGAAAUCCUCUCCGCCACCGAACUUGGAAGAACUUUGCCACCCAGGGUGUGACCUCGCGUAACCUCAACUUUACCCGCAUAUAUAUUCUAUAUUAUUAUAAUUAUAAAUGUUGCGUGAUGUUAUGUGCUGUGGAAUGUUAGGUGUGUCGUCCAAUGUCAAAAGUUACGAAAUAAGAUUGAUUAUUAUGUUGAAGGAAUUAAUUAGGUAUAUAAAAAUUGAUGUAAACUGGGUGUAGCAGUUAGUGUUGGCUAUAGAUUGAGAAGGAUAAAAGUUGUAAUAUUGAUUGUAUAAUAAAGUUGUUAAAAAAUGUCA
RNAcentral lists this unclassified non-coding RNA (5313 nucleotides) under Dendronephthya gigantea. RNAcentral's name for it is "tNF receptor-associated factor 6-like, transcript variant X2". The record is from RNAcentral. Lineage: Eukaryota; Metazoa; Cnidaria; Anthozoa; Malacalcyonacea; Nephtheidae.